Molecule: long non-coding RNA, 756 nt
Organism: Ictalurus punctatus (channel catfish)
Lineage: Eukaryota; Metazoa; Chordata; Actinopteri; Siluriformes; Ictaluridae
Source: Ensembl
CCGAGACCGAGUCGAGACCGAGACCGAACCGAGACCGAGACCGAGUCAAGACCGAGACCGAGUCGAGACCAAGUCAAGACCGAGACCGAGUCAAGACCGAGACCGAGUCAAGACCGAGACCGAGACCGAACCGAGACCGAGACCGAGUCAAGACCGAGACCGAGUCGAGACCAAGUCAAGACCGAGACCGAGACCGAGUCAAGACCGAGACCGAAAAGCAUCAACUCCUUUACUUCAACUAGUCACCUUCAUUCAUGCAUUGUUCCAGUAAAUAGACUGUUUCUAGAAGAAUGAAUUGCCUCUUAUCAAACUUUGUGCAAGCAAAAACAAAAGAUGAACAUUAUUCUUACAAACUCUGGCUGGAGAUUCGUAAAAGACCAGAUUUAAUGAGACGAAUACCCAAGACUGAGACAAGUCCAAGUCCAAAUGUUGCAUGAAUCAUGUCCUACGGCUAGAAACUGUACAACAUACAAUAGAUUAUGUUCAACAUGGCUCAUAAAAUGUUCUCCUAAAAGUUCCUAGAACCAUGUUGCUCAGAAACUGUUCUCCUAAAAUCCUCAUAAACGUUCCUCGAUAAACAUGGUUUAUAAAAUGUUCUCCUAAAAUCCUCCUAAAACUUUCUAGAUCAACAUGGUUCAUAAAAUGUUCUCCUGAAAGUUCCUCGAUCAACAUGGCUUAUCAAAUGUUCUCCUAAAAGUUCCUAGAACCAUGUUGCUCAUAAAAUGUUCUCAUAAAAAUCCUCCUAAAACUUUCUAC